Molecule: ribosomal RNA, 348 nt
Filed under: Enterococcus faecium
Lineage: Bacteria; Bacillati; Bacillota; Bacilli; Lactobacillales; Enterococcaceae
Description: bacterial SSU rRNA
Rfam family: Bacterial small subunit ribosomal RNA
Source: RNAcentral
CUCCACCGGAAAAAGAAGAGUGGCGAACGGGUGAGUAACACGUGGGUAACCUGCCCAUCAGAAGGGGAUACACUUGGAAACAGGUGCUAAUACCGUAUAACAAUCAAAACCNCAUGGUUUUGAUUUGAAAGGCGCUUUCGGGUGUCGCUGAUGGAUGGACCCGCGGUGCAUUAGCUAGUUGGUGAGGUAACGGCUCACCAAGGCCACGAUGCAUAGCCGACCUGAGAGGGUGAUCGGCCACAUUGGGACUGAGACACGGCAAACUCCUACGGGAGGCAGCAGUAGGGAAUCUUCGGCAAUGGACGAAAGUCUGACCGAGCAACGCCGCGUGAGUGAAGAAGGUUUUCG